AUGAGGCCUUCUACAGACAACUGGAAGCAGCCUCACGAUCACAGGCCCUGGUUCUCAUGGGGGAACUUCAACCACCCUGAUAUCUGCUGGAAACACAACACAGCUAGGCACAAACAGUCUCGGAGGUUCCUGCAGAGCAUUGAUGACAACUUCUUGACACAGGUGGUGGAGGAGCCAACAAGGAGAGGUGUGCUGCUGCACCUCGUACUAACAAACAAAGAAAGGCUGGUUGGAGAUGUGAAGGUCGGGGGCAGCCUUGGCUGCAGUGACCAUGAGAUGGUGGAGUUGAGGAUCCUGCGAGGAGGAAGCAGGGCACUGAGUAGGAUCACAACCCUGGACUUCAGGAGAGCAAACUUUGGCCUCUUCAGGGAGCUACUUGGAGGAAUCCCAUGGGUUACAGCCCUAGAAGGAAGUGGGGUUCAAGAGAGCUGGUUAAUAUUCAAGCAUCACUUCCUCCAAGCUCAAGAGCGGUGCAUCCCUAUGAAUAGGAAGUCAAGCAAAGGAGGUAGGAGACCUGCAUGGAUGAGCAAGGAGCUCCCGGCAAAACUCAAACAGGAGGAGGAAGUAUACAGAAAAUGGAAAGGGGGACAGGCCACUUGGGAGGAAUACAGGAACGUUGUGUGCAGGGAUGCGACAAGGAAGGACAAGGCCCAUUUGGAAUUAAAUCUGGCAAGGGAUGUCAAGGACAACAAGAAGGGCUUCUUCAAAUACCUCAGUAGCAAAAGGAAGACUAGGGAAAAUGUGGGCCCGCUGCUGAAUGGGGUGUGUGCCCUGGUGACGAAGGAUGCAGAGAAAGCAGAGUUACUGAAUGUCUUCUUUGCUUCAGUCUUUACUGCUCAGGCAAGUCUUCAGGAAUCCCAGACCUUGGAGGCAAGAGAGAAAGUCUGGAAAAAGGAAGACUUUCCCUUGGUCGAGGAGGAUUGGGUUAGAGAUCAUUUAAGCAAACCUGACACCCACAAAUCCAUGGGCCCCAAUGGGAUGCACCCACGAGUGCUGAGGGAGCUGGCGGAUGCCAUUGCUAGGCCACUCCAUCUUCUUUGA
RNAcentral lists this long non-coding RNA (1041 nucleotides) under Apteryx haastii (Great spotted kiwi). RNAcentral describes it as "lncRNA (ENSAHAG00000004815.1)". Lineage: Eukaryota; Metazoa; Chordata; Aves; Apterygiformes; Apterygidae. The record is from RNAcentral.